Long non-coding RNA from Etheostoma spectabile (orangethroat darter), 155 nucleotides. RefSeq lists it as uncharacterized. The transcript has 3 exons. Lineage: Eukaryota; Metazoa; Chordata; Actinopteri; Perciformes; Percidae. The record is from RefSeq and is a predicted model, not a curated record.
GACAGCAGUGUUCUACAUUUUAAGUAGUCUUGAUUUGGGUGUUUACAGUGCUCAUUUACAUUUAAAAGGGUUGUAAAUCUGGUUCUUCAAGUUAAUUGUAGCACACCAUAGUGCACUUUAUUCAAAUAAAACGUAAUUUCCCACAAAAAAGUGGA